Molecule: long non-coding RNA, 5208 nt
Organism: Cercocebus atys (sooty mangabey)
Lineage: Eukaryota; Metazoa; Chordata; Mammalia; Primates; Cercopithecidae
Exons: 5
Source: RefSeq, a predicted model, not a curated record
GGGUGACGUGGCGACAUGCGGGUGAUGUGGUGGCGAGUGGGUGACGUGGCGGCAUGCCGGUGAUGUGGCGGUGUGUGGGUGACGUGGCAGCAAGCAGGCGACGUGGCGGCGUGUGGGUGACGUGGCGGCGAGCGGGUGAUGUGGCACCCUGGGCGUGGGGAAAGUGGGAAGCACUGGCCUCGGCUGAGCAGCUGCCGCCGCCUGUCCCUACAUGAGCAGGAGAAUGGCUCACGGUUUGCGUGUCAGGGUCUCCCGAGGAACAGUCACUGGACGUGUGGGGAUUGCAGGCAGCUCAUUCUCAGGAACCGGCCCACGGGAUGACAGAGCCUGAAAAACCCAGAUCUACAGGGAAGACCCUCAGACUGUCUGAAGGUCGACUGCCAAAGAGGCCCCAUGUCAGGGAGGGAAAUCGGUGCAGCUCAGAGUCCACGAUUUAAAUGUCAGUCUCAUCCAAAAACACCCUCGCAGAAGGAUCCAGAGAAACGUCUGACCGAAUGUCUGGACCCCGUGGCCCAACCAAAUCUACAUGUAAAAUUAGCCAUCACGGGCCACGCAGAUGCCUCUCUGGGUGGCACCGACUGUGGCGGCCUUCACGGUUCUCUCGAGCUAGAACUUCCCAUUCACGGGCAGAGCCUCCCAGCAGGCCCACGGCCCAUGCACCGCGGCCCCACAACUGUCCUCCUGGGUGCAGGGCUUGCUCCAUGGGGACAUGUGCACCAGCAGACCCCACGAGACCGCCCACGCAUGUGCAGGCCCUGAGCGAGAGAGACCCUAGACCACAGCUGCUGCUGCGCCCGUGAGGAUGCACCCCCAGAGGAGACCUCGGACGGGGAGAGAACGGGGCAAGGGCCAGCGGGUGACAGGUUUCAUUUCUGGCUCCAAGGAGGGCCGCUGUUGCCUCCGACUUCCCAGAAGUGGCACGAACAAAAUCCUCCUCUCCCUUAAGCUGGGUGGAGCUGGGUCCACGUUGCUGCAGCUGUGAGUGUCCGGCUGUCCCCACGCGGCGUCCUGAGCGAACAUCACAUUCUGCUCAGAAGGGACAUGUCACCUCGCCAGCAUCCCCUCACAGGCAGGACACCUCGCCCUUCACCAGGUCCACCUCCUGACAAGACGUGUGGCCGGGGCCCAGGAGCGCCGCGUGGCCGACGUUUAGGUCACUUCUGCGGCAAGUCUUGCUCUCCCGGUCGGCUCCUUGGACGUCCCUCCCUGUCACAGCAGGUUGAAGUGGGCCCUGUGAGACCAUUGGUGUCCAUGUAGCAAGAGAGAAGUGUGGGCACAGACGCACAGAGGGAGAAGGCCGCGCGGGGACCGGCGCAGAGGCUGCAGCGAGGUGGGAGCAGGAGGGUGUGGCGCAGCCUUGCCAGCUGAAGGCCAGAUGUCUCUGGUGGGCCUCGCAGGCAGGGCUGGAGAAAGGUAUCAGCCGGAUCAACGGCUGCACAGCAGGCACCACAGUGAGUGGAUCUGCUCGAGCAGCGAAGUCACACCUGGCACAGCAGCUGCAGCUGGAGGCCCCACCUGGGCCAGCCUCAGGCACCCAUUGCUUCCCCAGGACGCAUCUGUCUUCUGCACAGGCCAGAUGGCUGAGCCGGAUGGGGCUGGGGGUGGAUCGCCACCGCUGCAUCUUCCAAGGACCUGGUGGGGACAGUGAGCUCUGCGGCCCUUCUGCCAUGCGGUCUUGCUUUUGAUUUAUGGCUUUUUUUAAAAAAGUAGAAGCAGCUCUGAUGUCUCCCACCAGCAUCUCCCUCCACCCCAGCCCUCACGCCACAGGGCAGGGAGUGGACAUGGGGUCUGCCAGCUCUAGUGUGUCUGUUCCAGUUGCGCACCUGGAGCUGGGAAAUGGCCCUGGGAUGCAUCCCGGGACCCACUGGGCCUGCGGUGUCAAACCUGAGCUAAAAUGGCACGGCCACCCGCCCUCCACAAGCCCCUAAGUGGAGAGCCGCAGUGAUGCUUUGGGGUUCCCAGAACCAAUGUCAGUUCAGCGCCCAUGUCCAGGAGUCCCUGAAAGGUCUAGUUCAGACCCGGUCACCGAGGCAGAAGCCCACAGGUCCCGCAGGGCAGGGCAGGGAAGAGGAGCCCACACUUUCAGGGGGCCCAGGGCCCUUUCUGAAGGGGUUUGGUAUGUAAACCGCACACAUCUGAGAACCUGAGACCUGCUGGAGGGGCUGAGACUGGUUUGAUGACUCCAUUAGACUUUUGUUAAUCUAAAACCUUCCUGCUUAUGUAGAUUAGGUAAAGAUUUGGGAGGCCUCCCGUCGGUCCUUGGAAGGAGUGCGGUGGUGGGUCGCUGAUACUACGGGUCCACGACGUCCCCUCACCUUCAGCUUCACUCCAGUUUCUGUUACUCAUAGCCAACUGCAGCCAAGAAUACGAAAGCCCAGGAGGAAAUCGCUCACGGGUUUUCAAUCGUGCCGUUCUGAGCAGCGUGGUGAACCCUCACGCCGCCGAGCUCUGUCCUUCCCGCGUCGGGGCCCUCCCUACGCCCAGCGUCUCCGUGCUGCGCACACUGCCAGCCCGCGCAGGGUCACGCCACAGGAAAAGGCAUCGCGUACGGGAUUCGGAACCACCUGGGGCUUCGGGCAUCCACUGGGGGUCUUGGAAACAGCCCCCACACCUCACGAUGAGGGGGACGACCGCGCAUGCGUAAGGCUACCCUGACUGCCGCUCGGCCUGGCCGUCCACAUGGUCACACCUCCCGCCCUCCCCUGGCAGUGGGUGAGUCCCGCCUACGGCUCUGCCUCCCGGGGUCCGUUCGUCCCGUGGUGCUCAGGCUUCCGAGGCAGUGGCCACGUUUCCCACCAGAAGGAGCCAUCACGGAGCCCUCCCCGGUGUGGAGUCCCCAUCAAUGUAUUUCUCCCAGCUGUGGUGACAGCCUUGUCCCCAGGCCCCUGCUGGGGUGGCUGGCAGGUCUAACGACAGGUCCAGCCUGACACUGCAGCCUCCCUAGGCCUCUGGAUCCUUCCCUCCAGUUACACCAAGGCAGGUGCGCCGUUUCCAGCCCUCUCGCUGGGCCACCAUGGGGCCUGUGUUCCAGGCAGCCAGACAAGCAGCUCACACCCAUCCCGCCCCCCGAGCUGCGGCCUUCGGCACAGGAGCUCUGCAUAGCGAACCCACUUCCAACGUCAGCCCAAUGCUGCGUUCUGUUCCUCCGUUACCCACACACCCUCAAUAUCCACCCCACAUGCUCACCCUGGGCCCUGAUCCUGGAACUGCUGGAGCUCCAAGACGAACGCUCCUCCCCGUGCCUGAUUCCUGGGGCAGCCUCUGCCUGCUGUGGACCGUGUGUGCUCCAGCGUGCGGAUGAGCUGCUCCAAGCUGCGCGGUACAAAAGAGCCAUGACUUUUGUUGCCCUAAAAAUGAAUUCACGGAACGAAGACAGUGCGGGAAGCAGGUGUCCUCUGACGCACCGGGCCACCCGCCGUCCCGAGCCCAGCCCGCCUUCCCUUCUCCGUGGCCUCCCUUCCAAUGGAGGCUUGGAGGGAGCCAGUCGCUGAGCCUGCCUCUGUGCACAUCCAGCUGCCACCUCACCUUCCCCUUGCCCUGGCUCAGUCCCAGGCCUUGGUUUGCAGAUGCUGCUCCCGUCCUCCCUCCCCCAGCCCAGAAGAUUCCAGCUGGGAAGGGAAGGGCGGAGAGGCCGGCAGUGUCCCUUCAGGGGAGUCCCACCCUCUGCAGGUGAUUCCCUGGUGGUCAUGGGAAUCACUGGGUCCCUCCGUCCCUGCUCCACCCUCAGCCCCUUGAGAGGAGAGAGCCCUGGGGGUCACCAUCUCCCCCGCCCACCCGCUGUCAGCUGGGGUUCCUGCCUGCCCUUCCCAGUGGCCCCUCCGAGGAAGAGGAUGUGGCAACCUCCCCCCUGGGCUUUGGGAACAAGAAGCCAAACUUGCCAUGAAAUUCUCUCCUGUCACUCAACUGCUUCCCCCUCCUGCCCGGUGUGAACCAUUCAGCAAGGCCCCGCCCUCAGGAGAGAAAGCACAGGAGAUGCUGGAGUGCUGUGAAGGAGACUGGGAGAAGAUUUUGUCAGCGGCAGCAGAGAUCCACCGCAAACCAGCCUAACCAAAGGAGGAAAGAUGCUGAUUUAUAGAACCAGGACUUGUGUAACAAGUCGAGGGCCUCGGGCACAGCUGGAUCCAGGAGUUAAAUGAAGUCAUCGUGCUCCUUCCGUGGGUGCGUGUGGCUGACUCUCCCCAUUCUCAGUGGCCACACCCUACAGCGUCACCACCACACGGCAAAUGCUGAGCCUCUGGUCCUUACGGAAACGGGGUCAGGUUCCUUUGAGCCUCUGGUCACCACAUUUUCACCACCCAUCAGUCUGUCACCUUGGUCUAUGUCUAUUUCUGCUUAAAGACACCGUAUUUAGUGUAUAGAGUUGAUUCAUUUACACUGAACUCACAGCCAACAGCCCACACAGGCCCGAGCAACGCUUCUCCGUCACACGUCACAGCUCCUGCACUCAGGAUCACUGGACAGAACCUCAGCUCUGUUCCUGAGGCCACUUUAAGCUGCAACAUCACCAACAAGAGCACAAAAAUGCGAACGACGUGACGCUAAAGAGAAAAGGAUGCACGUUUACUCCGAGAGCGGGCACAAGAAGGCGCUGCGGCCUCGCUCCCUCCCCGCCAGGGACGCGCAUGGCGACGCGGCUUCCCGAAGCUCUGUGCACGCCUGUGAAUGACCAGGAAAGACCCAGGUACUGACCUGGGGAUUACGAAUACGUUUUAGCAACUGGACAACGGCCGAGGCCAUGGCUACAGCACCCACCGCCCUCCUGCCUCUCCCAGGUCUCAGUCGGUCUCCAGCACAGCAGCUGCCGUCACACUGAGUGAAUACGUCUUCUGUGGCACACCAACGCUGCUUUAAGUUUUUUAGUUAUUGGCCAAUAUUUUCAAAGCAGAAGAUUUUGCAGUUUUUCUGGUGUCUGUAGAAGUAACAGAAAAUGUGGCUGCAUAGACUCCUGUUUCCUCACGGCAGAAAGUGGUGGACCUGAGUAAGUACUGCUGCUUUUAGAAGAAUGUGCAAAAUCCAGUUUCCCACAAUUCCCGUCCAGCCCACAUCAAACAUCCUGCCCAUAUCAAUACAUCCCUGGCUUGUGGACUUUCAUAUUUGGAAUCACUAUUACAGAGUUCUCCGACCUCUCUUCAGAUCUGCUGUUUCAGGAACAAAGUUCUGCGAUCACUACCGUAAUCUCCACCACUACCCACUCCACCACCAAUACCA